CCCGCACAAGCAGCGGAGCGUGUGGUUUAAUUCGAUGUUACACGAAGAACCUUACCAGGGUUUGACAUGCAAGUGGUAGGAAGCCGAAAGGUGACCGACCCUUCGGGGAGCUUGCACAGGUGCUGCAUGGCUGUCGUCAGCUCGUGUCGUGAGAUGUUCGGUUAAGUCCGCUAACGAGCGCAACCCUCGCUGUGUGUUAUAUGUGUCACACGGGACUGCCGGUCUUAAGCCGGAGGAAGGUGGGGAUGAUGUCAAGUCAGCAUGGCCUUUAUAUCCUGGGCUACACACACGCUACAAUGGCCAACACAAUAGGUUGCUAAGCCGCGAGGUGGAGCCAAUCCAUAAAGUUGGUCUCAGUUCAGAUUGUAGGCUGCAACCCGCCUGCAUGAAGAUGGAGUUGCUAGUAACCGCAGGUCAGCUAUACUGCGGUGAAUACAUUCCCGGGGCUU
RNAcentral lists this ribosomal RNA (449 nucleotides) under uncultured Leptolinea sp. RNAcentral describes it as "bacterial SSU rRNA". It matches the Rfam family "Bacterial small subunit ribosomal RNA", at positions 920 to 1382 of the family's 1533-position model. Lineage: Bacteria; Bacillati; Chloroflexota; Anaerolineae; Anaerolineales; Anaerolineaceae. The record is from RNAcentral.